UUGAUCUCAAAUCAGGUAGGACUACCCGCUGAACUUAAGCAUAUCAAUAAGCGGAGGAAAAGAAACUAACAAGGAUUCCCCUAGUAACUGCGAGUGAAGCGGGAAAAGCUCAAAUUUAAAAUCUGGCGUGCCUCUGGUCGUCCGAGUUGUAGUCUGGAGAAGCGUUUUCCGUGUUGGACCGUGUAUAAGUCUCUUGGAACAGGGCGUCAUAGAGGGUGAGAAUCCCGUCUUUGACACGGACUACCAAUGCUUUGUGAUGCGCUCUCAAAGAGUCGAGUUGUUUGGGAAUGCAGCUCAAAAUGGGUGGUAAAUUCCAUCUAAAGCUAAAUAUAGGCGAGAGACCGAUAGCGAACA
This 354-nucleotide ribosomal RNA is filed under the name uncultured Thelephoraceae. Its description in RNAcentral is "eukaryotic LSU rRNA". It matches the Rfam family "Eukaryotic large subunit ribosomal RNA", at positions 1 to 346 of the family's 3401-position model. Lineage: Eukaryota; Fungi; Basidiomycota; Agaricomycetes; Thelephorales; Thelephoraceae. The record is from RNAcentral.